This 1464-nucleotide ribosomal RNA is filed under the name Triticum aestivum (bread wheat). Its description in RNAcentral is "partial small subunit ribosomal RNA". The record is from RNAcentral. Lineage: Eukaryota; Viridiplantae; Streptophyta; Magnoliopsida; Poales; Poaceae.
AUGCGUGCGUACCGCUCCGUGCUCUCCGUCCGGAGUCCCUUCCUUGAUGCCAUCUUCGCGCGUCGUGCCGCUGAAGGGGAGGGCAACCCGCUGGACCUCCGGGAGCUUCUGGGUGAGGAGGUGGAGGUCGGGUAUGAGGCACUGCAGUUGGUGCUCGAGUACCUGUACACCGGCUGCAUCCGCGACCUUCCCAAGUCGGCAUGCGUUUGCGCAGACGUGGACGGCUGCGCCCAUGUCGGCUGCCUCCCUGCCAUCUCGUUCAUGGCGCAGGUCAUCUUUGCCGCAUCCAUCUUCCAGGUUGCCGUGCUCACCAACCACUUCCAGCGGCUUCUCCUUGAUGUCCUUGAUGAUGUUGAAGUGGAUAACCUUCCAUUGAUCUUAUCUGUUGCGAACUUAUGCAAUAAAUCUUGCAUGCAUCUGCUCGAGAGAUGCCUUGAGAUGGUAGUCCGGUCAAAUCUUGACAUGAUUACUCUUGAGAAAGCAUUGCCUUCAGAUAUCAUCGAGCAGAUUACUGAUUCACGGCUAAGUCUUGGACUAGUUUCACCCGAAGAUAAGGGAUUUCCUAACAAACAUGUAAGAAGGAUACUCAGAGCUCUUGAUUCUGAUGAUGUGUGUUUAGUGAGGAUGCUGCUCAAAGAAGGGCGGACUAAUCUUGAUGGUGCAUUUGCAUUGCACCAUGCUGUAGAACAUUGUGACUCGAAGGUCACAAUGGAACUUCUGGAUAUCGGACUUGCAGAUGUUAAUCAUAGAAAUCCAAGAGGUUAUACUGUUCUUCACGUUGCUGCCAGGCGAAGAGAUCCUAAAAUUCUUGUCUCUGUUUUAACCAAAGGUGCUCGGCAUUCUGAUCUUACAUUUGAUGGAAGAAAAGCAGUUCAAAUCUCAAAGAGACUCACAAAACAUGGGGAUUACUUUGGGAUUACAGAAGAAGGAAAACCGUCUCGUGAAGAUAGGUUAUGCAUUAAGAUACUGGAGCAAGCUGAAAGAAGGGAUCCACAACUUGGAGAAGCAUCGGUUUCUCUUGCAAUAGCUGGUGACCGUCAACGUGGAAAGCUGUUGUACCUCGAAAAUCGAGUUGCUUUGAUGAGGAUAAUGUUUCCAACUGAGGCAAGAAUAGCAAUGGACAUCGCUCAAGUGGAUUGUACUUUGAAGUUAACCCUUGAUUCUGGGGCAAAACCUCCUCCGGAGAAAGAACUGGCAACCAUUGAUCUAAAUGAAACUCCUUUCCAUAUGAAUGAAGAACACUUAGCUCGGAUGAGUACCCUCUCCAAAACAGUUGAACUCUGUAAACGCUUCUUUCCGCGUUGUUCAAAUGUGAUAGACAAGAUUAUGGAUGAUGAACCUGAGCUGGCUCCUCUUCAAAGAGACGCAUCCACCGAGAGGACUCGGAGGUUCGGUUACCUGCAGGACGCGGUUCAGAAGGCAUUAAGCGAGGACAAGGCUAGUUUUGACAAAUCUGGGUCAUAG